CUUGCCUGAAAAGUCAAAGUUUGGAAGGGGAGAAAAGGAAAAGGUAUCCGCCGGUAACAUGUUGCAAUUAAAAGCAACCAAUGGAGAUCCCGCUUUCAUCAUGCAUCAAUUUAACAUUUAAACUCCCCAUAAACUUAACGAACUCCUUCAACUUCCCCUCCUUUUUUUCUCUCUCUCUUUCGCCGGAAUCUAGGAGAGAGAAAACAACCGUAUCUAAUUUGGUUUGCAAAAAUGGCGAAUUUGGAAUCGAUUUUUAGAUGGAGAUUUAGCAGAUUUUGGAUGUGUAUGUUGCUUUUAGUGGCUGCUAAAAUCGAUUUCAAAUUCUGCAACAGUGCGAGAUCUGAUCAGGAAAUGCGCGAGAGAUUUUACGGCAACAAUAUCUUCAAUUCUACGCCGCCUGAUGGAGAGGGUACUAUUGCGAAGAUGAUUGAUCAUGUUUUGGAGAAGGAGUUUUCUGAGAAUGAUCAACCUGAAGGUUCUGAUGGAAGUAGUUUCAACAACAGUGUAGCUGGCAAGCAAGCGGAGCUUGAAACUGUAGCUAAAAUAAGUCAUGAAAAAGCCAAAAAGAAUGACACAGGAGAAGCAAAUGGAACAAAGUCCUUCCAGAUUCAAGAUGUUUUCUCUUUGGAUAAUGAAGAAUCUGAUGACAUGGCAACUUUGAUCGAUAAAAAGGAUAAUGUGUUUGUGAUGUCUAACAAGAAAUCUAAAUAUCCAAUCCUUCAAGUAGAUUUUAGGCUAAUAUCAGAUUUGGUUUUGCUGAUUGUUUCUGCUGCAGUUGGUGGGAUUAUCUUUUCAUGUUUGGGACAACCGGUUAUUGUUGGCUACCUCCUUGCGGGUUCAAUGAUUGGGCCAGGAGGUGUGAACUGUAUCAGUGAAAUGGUUCAGGUUGAGACUGUUGCCCAAUUUGGUGUUGUGUUCCUUCUGUUUGCUUUAGGAUUGGAAUUUUCCAUGACCAAGCUCAGAGCAGUAGGGGCUGUUGCUGUUCUCGGCGGGAUGCUUCAGAUCAUCGUAUUUAUGUUUUUAUGUGGCAUAACUGCUAUGAUAUGUGGAGGAAAGUUGUCGGAGGGUGUGUUUGUGGGUUCAUUCCUAUCUAUGUCAUCAACAGCUGUGGUGGUGAAAUUUUUGAUAGAAAGAAAUUAUAACAAUGCUCUACAUGGUCAAGUUGCUAUCGGGAUACUUAUUUUUCAGGAUUGUGCUGUGGGGUUACUGUUUGCAUUGCUUCCAGUUAUGGGCGGUAACAGUGGCCUUCUGAAGGGAAUUGUUUCAAUGGGUAGAUUGUUGGUGAUCUUGUCUCUAUACCUCACUACUGCAUCUAUAUUAACGUGGUCAUUCAUUCCUCGAUUUCUAAAGCUGAUGAUACAACUGUCAUCUCAGACAAAUGAACUUUAUCAACUUGCUCUGGUGGCAUUCUGCUUGCUAUCUGCUUGGUGUAGUGAUAAACUUGGUCUCAGUCUCGAAUUGGGAUCAUUUGUAGCUGGGGUCAUGAUCUCUACUACGGACUUUGCACAGCAUACGUUGGACCAGGUGGAGCCUAUUCGUAAUCUGUUUGCUGCUCUUUUUCUUUCCAGCAUCGGAAUGCUUAUACGUGUGCAAUUUCUUUGGAAUCAUGUUGAUAUAUUGGUCGCAUCAGUUAUCCUGGUUGUAGUGUUUAAGACAUCAGUUACGGCUGUGGUAACAAAGGCGUUUGGCUACAGUAUCAGGACAUCCCUUCUUGUCGGGCUCUCACUUGCUCAAAUUGGAGAAUUUGCUUUUGUUCUCUUAAGUCGUGCUUCCAAUCUCCACCUUGUUGAGGGGAAAAUGUAUCUUUUGCUUCUUGGAACCACUGCUCUUAGCUUGGUUACUACUCCAAUUUUGUUUAAAUUGAUGCCGGCUUUGACUCAUUUGGGAGUUUUCAUGCAUUGGUUCCCUUCAGAGACCAGCGUAUUACAGAAUGAGAUGAAGGAAACCCACCUGAAGAGGGAGGAUAUAAGGGAAAUCCCUCCAAUUAGUCCAAUGAGAUUCAAACCCUAGACAGGGUUGUAAGGUGGGGAGCGAUGCCACUAUACUGCCACCUCAACCUCAGGAGAGAGUUUCGAUGAUUGAUGCACACAAUAGAAUGUUGUGAUCUUCAAAGAUGUAAUACUUUGAGGAUUCUUAAUGGCCUAAAGAAGUGGUAUCAGUUGUGAAUUGAGAAUUAAGCUCGCGAUGGUUUUCAGCAUCAGAAUAUUGACUUUGACAAAACUUGGAAGUCGGCUUUUGAGUGUAUAUAUUGUUACACAAUUUUUGUAUUCGUUCGGAUUGUGUACAUAUAUGAUUCUUACCAGCUGUGCUUGUGACCCUCUAACUGAGCUUCUGACAGGUGCAAAAAAAAUUGUACCAUUAUCAUUGAUCAUAGUUACUGUACACGACCUAGGAAUAGAUCAGAGAAGUUUAAAGAUGUUGGAGCAAUUUGUAGUGAUGGAAGUUUUGUUUUCUUCAUCUGAUUGUAGUUUCCACUGUAAUUUAGCAAAAACUUCAGUCAGAGAUAUCAAUGAAUACAAUGAAAAUUGUUAUCACUGAAUUUGUAUUCAGGGUAACUUGUUAUCA
Beta vulgaris subsp. vulgaris (sugar beet) is the source of this 2565-nucleotide RNA transcript. It is a transcript of the gene named K(+) efflux antiporter 5, with no coding region annotated. The record is from RefSeq and is a predicted model, not a curated record. NCBI's taxonomy places the organism in Eukaryota, Viridiplantae, Streptophyta, Magnoliopsida, Caryophyllales, Amaranthaceae. The transcript is spliced from 21 exons.